This 427-nucleotide long non-coding RNA is filed under the name Felis catus (domestic cat). RNAcentral describes it as "lncRNA (ENSFCAG00000048106.1)". Lineage: Eukaryota; Metazoa; Chordata; Mammalia; Carnivora; Felidae. The record is from RNAcentral.
AUGGAGGAAUGCCAUAAUGUCAUCUUUUGGAAAGAGGGAGAGAGUGGUCUUUUGAAUCUGACCACAGAAGAGAGAGAACAGUGGAGGAGGGGAAGAGGGAGAAGGAUAGAAUCUAAAGCAGGGUCCAUGCCCACCAUGGAGCCCGACGUGGGGCUCAAUCUCACCACUGUGAAAUCAUGACCUGAGCCAAAAACAAGAGAUGGACACUUAACCAAUUGAGCCACUCAGGCAGCCGUUAGAGAUUGUUUUUAAGACCCAGUAUACAUAUUCCUUAAGUAGCAUACAUUGUAGAAUAUUAUAUUGAAUUGUGUGAUACAAACCAAAAGAAAAUUCAGCCAGUGCUGAAUUCCUAAAUCUUAUCUAUAUUAGCAAACAGAAAGGCGAUUUUGUUUUGUUUUUGUCCUGAUAUUAAAUUAUUAAAUAGGGG